This is a non-coding RNA of Sphaerobolus stellatus SS14, 79 nucleotides long. The record is from the annotation of a GenBank genome assembly. NCBI's taxonomy places the organism in Eukaryota, Fungi, Basidiomycota, Agaricomycetes, Geastrales, Sphaerobolaceae.
UCCGAUAUGGUGUAGUGGCUAACAUUAUCGCCUCUCAGGUAGGACGCGAUAGCCCGGGGUUCGAUUCCCCGUGUCGGAA